GCCAUAAGGGUGGUUGAUCGUGAUGAUCUCUUCACAUACAUGUACAGAUGCUACCUCAAACAUGAGGGGGGCACAGUGGAGACUCCAACACAACAAGAAGUUUCUGCCUGGUAUCAGAAGUUUCUACAAUGUGUGAAGCUGCUCUGCCUGCUGUACACAGUGCUGAUAGUGAAGAGUCUGGUGUACUGCUGUGGACUCUCUCUGCUGAUGAUCCUCACAAACAAGGGACCGUCCACCAACUGCACACAUGCUGACUGACUGUUUUCUGCUCACCUUUUCUCACCAUCAGAUCUCAUCAAUUCAUCUCAUUCAUCACUUUGAUCAGUAUCACAAAUGGGCUGAUGGGAGCUUUGAGGACCUGUUAGAAACCACGUGGCCCUCGUCUGAUCUCACAGCUCGUCCUUGUUUGGCCUCAGCUGCAUCAGAGCGCCACUUCUCCCCAGGUUCACCAGAGGAAACACCACUGCACAAAAUGCUUUUCCUCCCAGCUGCUGCUCUGUGCUGUCUGUGUUCAGGUGAGUGUUUCCAGCCAAUCAGGAGCCAACAAACUCAACCUGUAACAAACACUGUCACACUAACCUUCAUCUAUCUGUCUGUGUCUCU
Oreochromis niloticus (Nile tilapia) is the source of this 603-nucleotide long non-coding RNA. RefSeq lists it as uncharacterized. The record is from RefSeq and is a predicted model, not a curated record. The transcript is spliced from 3 exons. NCBI's taxonomy places the organism in Eukaryota, Metazoa, Chordata, Actinopteri, Cichliformes, Cichlidae.